GAUAUACUCCCUCCGUCCGGAAAUACUUGUCGGAGAAAUGGAUGUAUCUAGAUGUAUUUUAGUUCUAGAUACAUCGAUAUUUAUGCAUUUCUACGACAAGUAUUUCCGGACGGAGGGAGUAGUUC
Non-coding RNA from Triticum aestivum (bread wheat), 125 nucleotides. NCBI's taxonomy places the organism in Eukaryota, Viridiplantae, Streptophyta, Magnoliopsida, Poales, Poaceae. The record is from Rfam.